AUGGCUUUCCCUCUGAUGCCUCAGCCAAUUCCUCUCUCCUUCUUGAAUUCCAGGACGAAAACAGCAACCAGAGUUCCGUGUCUGACGUCUAUCAGCUUAAGGUGGACAGCAGCACCAACUCAAGCCCCAGCCCCCAGCAGAGUGAGUCCCUGAGCCCAGCACACACCUCCGACUUCCGCACGGAUGACUCCCAGCCCCCAACCCUGGGCCAGGAGAUCCUGGAGGGUUGUUGAGGAAGAGGAAGACUCAGGUGCCCCGCCCCUGAAGCGCUUCUGUGUGGACCAACCCACAGUGCCGCAGACGGCGUUAGAAAGCUAGCACUGUCCCGGCCCUCCGCCUCCUGGCCCUGCCUCUAUUUAUUGCAUUCUGGUUCUGGCCGCGCUGCGUUGCUGGGGUAAGGGCAAGCACUGGGGUCAAGAGCCUGCACACAUGAGCCUUUCGGGCUGGAAGGCUGGCG
RNAcentral lists this small RNA (457 nucleotides) under Pongo abelii (Sumatran orangutan). RNAcentral's name for it is "processed transcript". The record is from RNAcentral. Lineage: Eukaryota; Metazoa; Chordata; Mammalia; Primates; Hominidae.